CGCAGCCGCGGUAAUUCCAGCUCCAAUAGCGUAUAUUAAAGUUGUUGCAGUUAAAAAGCUCGUAGUUGAAUUUCGGAACCAAUAUGUCGGUCGUGCCUCGGUACGUACUGGUGUCAUUGGUUUCUCCCUUCUGAGGAUCCUUGAUGUCAUUAAUUUGGUGUCUUGGGGAAUCAGGACUGUUACCUUGAAAAAAUUAGAGUGUUUAAAGCAGGCAUACGCUUGAAUACAUUAGCAUGGAAUAAUGAAAUAGGACGUUCGAUUCUAUUUUGUUGGUUUCUAGGAUCGACGUAAUGAUUAAUAGGGAUAGUUGGGGGCAUUAGUAUUCAAUUGUCAGAGGUGAAAUUCUUGGAUUUAUUGAAGACUAACUACUGCGAAAGCAUUUGCCAAGGAUGUUUUCAUUAAUCAAAGAACGAAAGUUAAGGGGAUCGAAGACGAUCAGAUACCGUCGUA
RNAcentral lists this ribosomal RNA (450 nucleotides) under uncultured Glomeromycotina. RNAcentral describes it as "SSU rRNA". It matches the Rfam family "Eukaryotic small subunit ribosomal RNA", at positions 569 to 1022 of the family's 1831-position model. Lineage: Eukaryota; Fungi; Glomeromycota. The record is from RNAcentral.